GAAGUUUGAAGAAAAGUCGUAACAAGGUCUCCGUUGGUGAACCAGCGGAGGGAUCAUUA
This 59-nucleotide ribosomal RNA is filed under the name Beauveria brongniartii. RNAcentral describes it as "partial 18S ribosomal RNA". It matches the Rfam family "Eukaryotic small subunit ribosomal RNA", at positions 1773 to 1831 of the family's 1831-position model. The record is from RNAcentral. Lineage: Eukaryota; Fungi; Ascomycota; Sordariomycetes; Hypocreales; Cordycipitaceae.